AUCCCCGGUGUCCGUGCGAUGUAUGCGUGGAGCUUCCUUUGGAAAAUUCCACUGUCCGCACAUAAAAUUCCACUGUCCGCACAUAUAGCUGCACGUCGCUUGUCUGGGAAGGUUACAUAAUGAUUGGAGGCCAUCCUUCAGUGCUCUUUCGAGCAGUUCGCCGAUCUUAAUUAUUCAACGGAUUUGAAAGGUAAAGUAAUGUUUCGGAGCUGGCUGGCGACCUUUGGGGACUUCGUCCUACCGUGUGUUAGUAAUUAUCGUAACCAUGGAGCUAGCGAUCCAGUACUGGAUAAAUACGGCUUUUGGUGCUGUGGAGGACUCGCCUAACCCGAGCCCCUGUUCGGCAUUGCAACCCGGGGAAGUUGUGUGCAGUGGUUAGAGAGUCACGUACUGUUCCUAAUCCGUGGUACUACCUUUGCCGUUUCGGACUUAGGGUUUUUUAACCCUUAGUUGACGACCUUUUGGAACUCGUUAGUAAUUGCCACAACUUCGGAGCUAGCGGAGCCAGGAUCGGAUAAGUACGGCACGUGGUAAUGAAGAGCGCUAGCUUGAUUAUAUCAGCGGACCAUAUUAUUAAUAUUGUAAGCCAAAGUUAAGUUCGAGCAAUCCCGUUCUUCAGGGCAUACGCCAGUUUCACGGCAAGUCAAGUAAGCUUACGCGUCCCGAUUGUUUAGGAGUGAUCCGGUUCCUUUCAGUUGGCAUAGGUGAUCCACCUCGCCUCGCUCGUGUCAUCGUCAUCAUCGUUUUGUCUACCACCAUGGUGUCUACAAAUCCGACCUUUCUCACCGAGGUGGAGCCCGUUCUCCGACUGUUCCUCCAGGCAUUCAACAAGUACGAGCUGCAGUUUCCCGUCGACACCACGCAGCUGCCGUCCCACACGCCACUGGUUGUAACGAUCCUAAAGCAAGCCUAAAAAACAAGCUUCUACUCACCACGUCAUCCACGCUCACAGUUCUUCCAUGAAAUAAUGAGGUGUCCGCAUUCCGCAACUUUGAUUUCUGCAGGGUAACAAUGUCUCAAUCCACUGUUCGCAGGACACACAUGCCUAGCCGCCUUACUAUGAUCGCAACGUCCCACAUGCGCACGGCCGUUCUGUUGAGAAAUGACACUAUAAAAGGUCGCCUACUAUACUCAGCUGUUAUCUGAACACAAGAUCCCAGACACCUAAGCAAGGGUCUGCCCAAACCAGUGCCGAGCACCGGACGCGGGCCGAGUAUCGCCCUGCAUAGCUUAACACCCAAAUCGUGUCACAGCUCUGUCCCUUCGUUUCAAAAUUCGUUCCAAAACACGCUAGGCUAGCAUGCAUCU
RNAcentral lists this long non-coding RNA (1308 nucleotides) under Volvox carteri. RNAcentral's name for it is "long non-coding RNA (VCAR_LNC002290)". Lineage: Eukaryota; Viridiplantae; Chlorophyta; Chlorophyceae; Chlamydomonadales; Volvocaceae. The record is from RNAcentral.